UACGUAGGGGGCAAGCGUUGUCCGGAAUCAUUGGGCGUAAAGCGCGUGUAGGCGGCCAGAUAAGUCCGCUGUGAAAUCUCGAGGCUCAACUUCGAGCUGUCGGUGGAAACUGUCUGGCUAGAGUCCGGAAGAGGAGAAUGGAAUUCCUGGUGUAGCGGUGAAAUGCGCAGAUAUCAGGAAGAACACCCGUGGCGAAGGCGGUUCUCUGGGACGGUACUGACGCUGAGACGCGAAAGCGUGGGGAGCGGACAGG
This 253-nucleotide ribosomal RNA is filed under the name uncultured bacterium. RNAcentral describes it as "partial 16S ribosomal RNA". It matches the Rfam family "Bacterial small subunit ribosomal RNA", at positions 524 to 776 of the family's 1533-position model. The record is from RNAcentral.